UGCGUAGGCGGAUUAAUAAGUCAGUGGUGAAAACCUGCAGCUUAACUGUGGAACUGCCAUUGAUACUGUUAGUCUUGAGUACGGUCAAGGUAGGCGGAAUGUGUAAUGUAGCGGUGAAAUGCUUAGAUAUUACACAGAACACCGAUUGCGAAGGCAGCUUACUGGACCAUUACUGACGCUGAGGCACGAAAGCGUGGGGAGCGAACAGGAUUAGAUACCCUGGUAGUCC
This 229-nucleotide ribosomal RNA is filed under the name uncultured bacterium. RNAcentral describes it as "partial 16S ribosomal RNA". It matches the Rfam family "Bacterial small subunit ribosomal RNA", at positions 568 to 796 of the family's 1533-position model. The record is from RNAcentral.